Rhododendron vialii is the source of this 595-nucleotide long non-coding RNA. RefSeq lists it as uncharacterized. The record is from RefSeq and is a predicted model, not a curated record. Lineage: Eukaryota; Viridiplantae; Streptophyta; Magnoliopsida; Ericales; Ericaceae. The transcript is spliced from 2 exons.
CCAACAGUUUGUCUAUUCUAGAAGCCCACCUUUUGUGGCUCUUCCGGUAGCUUUGCUUUUAUAAGAAAAAAAAAGAACCACACCUUCUAGAUUUCACUUGUUUUAUAAAAGCAAGACCCAUCAUUAUAUAAGUCCUCACGUCUUGUACAAUAAAGUUGUGUUUAAAUUUCUUUCAGUUUCACUUUCUGCAGUUCCAGGCUUUCAGCAUCAGUAUUCCACAUUCAGACCUGGUUCUAGGCCAUAAUAAAACAUGGGUUCUUUGUUGAAGCCUUCUCUACUUCUCUUGUUGCUCUUCGUGGUCGGUUUCACAUCUCAAACACCAAGAUUUACAGAAGCCAGGCCCCUUUCUUUCCUACCUCAACAAAGAUUUUCGAAGGUUUUUGAAACACUAGGAGUGGUGUGCAAGUGCUGCGAUGGCCCUGGAGGAGAAUGCAUGAGUACUACAGGGGUUCAUCAAAAUUGCUCUAAUUUACAAUGCCUUCCUUGGAAGCUAGAUAUAUCUCGACAAUAGUUUUUCAUUGUUGCUGUACAGACAUUUUAUACCAGCUAUAAUUAUAAUAUCAUGUGGGUUCCAACCCAAAUUUUAAGUUUCCAG